This 496-nucleotide ribosomal RNA is filed under the name uncultured bacterium. Its description in RNAcentral is "partial 16S ribosomal RNA". It matches the Rfam family "Bacterial small subunit ribosomal RNA", at positions 28 to 506 of the family's 1533-position model. The record is from RNAcentral.
GAUGAACGCUGGCGGCGUGCCUAAUACAUGCAAGUCGAGCGAACAGACGAGGAGCUUGCUCCUCUGACGUUAGCGGCGGACGGGUGAGUAACACGUGGAUAACCUACCUAUAAGACUGGGAUAACUUCGGGAAACCGGAGCUAAUACCGGAUAAUAUAUUGAACCGCAUGGUUCAAUAGUGAAAGACGGUUUUGCUGUCACUUAUAGAUGGAUCCGCGCCGCAUUAGCUAGUUGGUAAGGUAACGGCUUACCAAGGCAACGAUGCGUAGCCGACCUGAGAGGGGGACCGGCCCACUGGGAGCGGGACCGCGGACCAGACCCCUAAGGGAGGCACAAGUAGGGAACCUUCCGCAAGGGGGGAAAGCCUGACGGAGCAACGCCGCGGGAGGGAUAAAGGUCUUGGGACCGUAAACCUCUGUUAUUGGGGAAAAACAAAUGUGUAAGGAAAUAUGCCGGUUUUGACGGUACCUAAUAAAAAAGCAACGGCUAACUACGU